CAAUAGCGUAUAUUAAAGUUGUUGCAGUUAAAAAGCUCGUAGUUGGAUUUUUGGCAUUUUCUUACAGUCAUCCUUAAUUGGUAGGCUAGUAAAGAUAUGUCAUUUCUCUAUGUGUACGAUCAAAUCGUACAUAAUAAGGGCAUUUACUUUGAGUAAAUUAGAGUGUUUCAAGCAAGCCAUUGCUAUGAAUACUGCAGCAUGGAAUAAUAACAUAGGACGUUGGUUCUAUAUUGUUGGUUCAGAGAGCCGGUGUAAUGAUUAAUAGAAACAGUUGGGGGCAUUCGAAUUCAACAGCUAGAGGUGAAAUUCUUAGAUUUGUUGAAGACGAACUACAGCGAAAGCAUUUGCCAAGGAUGUUUNCAUUAA
RNAcentral lists this ribosomal RNA (366 nucleotides) under uncultured eukaryote. Its description in RNAcentral is "partial 18S ribosomal RNA". It matches the Rfam family "Eukaryotic small subunit ribosomal RNA", at positions 592 to 976 of the family's 1831-position model. The record is from RNAcentral.